AUUGAACGCUGGCGGCAUGCCUUACACAUGCAAGUCGAACGGCAGCGCGGACUUCGGUCUGGCGGCGAGUGGCGAACGGGUGAGUAAUACAUCGGAACGUACCCUGUUGUGGGGGAUAGCUAGUCGAAAGAUUAGCUAAUACCGCAUACGACCUGAGGGUGAAAGUGGGGGACCGCAAGGCCUCACGCAGCAGGAGCGGCCGAUGUCUGAUUAGCUAGUUGGUGGGGUAAAGGCCCACCAAGGCGACGAUCAGUAGCUAGUCUGAGAGGACGAUCAGCCACACUGGGACUGAGACACGGCCCAGACUCCUACGGGAGGCAGCAGUGGGGAAUUUUGGACAAUGGGGGCAACCCUGAUCCAGCAAUGCCGCGUGUGUGAAGAAGGCCUUCGGGUUGUAAAGCACUUUUGUCCGGAAAGAAAUCGCGCUGGUUAAUACCUGGCGUGGAUGACGGUACCGGAAGAAUAAGCACCGGCUAACUACGUG
This 484-nucleotide ribosomal RNA is filed under the name uncultured bacterium. Its description in RNAcentral is "partial 16S ribosomal RNA". It matches the Rfam family "Bacterial small subunit ribosomal RNA", at positions 30 to 507 of the family's 1533-position model. The record is from RNAcentral.